AAAAACUUAGGAUAUUAAAACCAAGGGCCUUCAAAGCCCUAAAAAAGGGUGUAAACCCCUUAGUUUUUG
Molecule: transfer RNA, 69 nt
Filed under: Anolis distichus (bark anole)
Lineage: Eukaryota; Metazoa; Chordata; Lepidosauria; Squamata; Anolidae
Also listed under: 1 other name
Description: tRNA-Trp
Rfam family: tRNA
About the family: Transfer RNA (tRNA) molecules are approximately 80 nucleotides in length. Their secondary structure includes four short double-helical elements and three loops (D, anti-codon, and T loops). Further hydrogen bonds mediate the characteristic L-shaped molecular structure. tRNAs have two regions of fundamental functional importance: the anti-codon, which is responsible for specific mRNA codon recognition, and the 3' end, to which the tRNAs corresponding amino acid is attached (by aminoacyl-tRNA synthetases). tRNAs cope with the degeneracy of the genetic code in two manners: having more than one tRNA (with a specific anti-codon) for a particular amino acid; and 'wobble' base-pairing, i.e. permitting non-standard base-pairing at the 3rd anti-codon position.
Source: RNAcentral